RNAcentral lists this ribosomal RNA (465 nucleotides) under uncultured Klebsiella sp. RNAcentral's name for it is "bacterial SSU rRNA". It matches the Rfam family "Bacterial small subunit ribosomal RNA", at positions 338 to 795 of the family's 1533-position model. The record is from RNAcentral. Lineage: Bacteria; Pseudomonadati; Pseudomonadota; Gammaproteobacteria; Enterobacterales; Enterobacteriaceae.
CCUACGGGCGGCUGCAGUGGGGAAUAUUGCACAAUGGGCGCAAGCCUGAUGCAGCCAUGCCGCGUGUGUGAAGAAGGCCUUCGGGUUGUAAAGCACUUUCAGCGGGGAGGAAGGCGGUGAGGUUGAUAACCUCAUCGAUUGACGUUACCCGCAGAAGAAGCACCGGCUAACUCCGUGCCAGCAGCCGCGGUAAUACGGAGGGUGCAAGCGUUAAUCGGGAUUACUGGGCGUAAAGCGCACGCAGGCGGUCUGUCAAGUCGGAUGUGAAAUCCCCGGGCUCAACCUGGGAACUGCAUUCGAAACUGGCAGGCUAGAGUCUUGUAGAGGGGGGUAGAAUUCCAGGUGUAGCGGUGAAAUGCGUAGAGAUCUGGAGGAAUACCGGUGGCGAAGGCGGCCCCCUGGACAAAGACUGACGCUCAGGUGCGAAAGCGUGGGGAGCAAACAGGAUUAGAUACCCCAGUAGUC